Molecule: ribosomal RNA, 466 nt
Filed under: uncultured bacterium
Lineage: Bacteria
Description: partial 16S ribosomal RNA
Rfam family: Bacterial small subunit ribosomal RNA
Source: RNAcentral
GAUGAACGCUGGCGGCGUGCUUAACACAUGCAAGUCGAACGGAAAGGCUCCUGCUUGCAGGGGUACUCGAGUGGCGAACGGGUGAGUAACACGUGGGUGAUCUGCCCUGCACUUCGGGAUAAGCCUGGGAAACUGGGUCUAAUACCGGAUAGGACGAUGGUUUGGAUGCCAUUGUGGAAAGUUUUUUCGGUGUGGGAUGAGCUCGCGGCCUAUCAGCUUGUUGGUGGGGUAAUGGCCUACCAAGGCGUCGACGGGUAGCCGGCCUGAGAGGGUGUACAGCCACAUUGGGACUGAGAUACGGCCCAGACUCCUACGGGAGGCAGCAGUGGGGAAUAUUGCACAAUGGGCGCAAGCCUGAUGCAGCGACGCCGCGUGGGGGAUGACGGCCUUCGGGUUGUAAACUCCUUUCGCUAGGGACGAAGCGCAAGUGACGGUACCUGGAGAAGAAGCACCGGCUAACUACGUG